UAAGGAAUAUUGGUCAAUGGACGCAAGUCUGAACCAGCCAUGCCGCGUGGAGGAUGAAGGCCCUCUGGGUUGUAAACUUCUUUUAUUUGGGAAGAAACCCAUCUUUUCUAAGGUGGUUGACGGUACCAGAUGAAUAAGCACCGGCUAACUCCGUGCCAGCAGCCGCGGUAAUACGGAGGGUGCAAGCGUUAUCCGGAUUCACUGGGUUUAAAGGGUGCGUAGGUGGGCAAGUAAGUCAGUGGUGAAAUCUCCGGGCUUAACCCGGAAACUGCCGUUGAUACUAUUUGUCUUGAAUGUAGUGGAGGUGAGCGGAAUAUGUCAUGUAGCGGUGAAAUGCUUAGAUAUGACAUAGAACACCGAUUGUGAAGACAGCUCGCUACACUAUUAUUGACACUGAGGCACGAAAGCGUGGGGAUCAAACA
RNAcentral lists this ribosomal RNA (422 nucleotides) under uncultured Puia sp. RNAcentral describes it as "bacterial SSU rRNA". It matches the Rfam family "Bacterial small subunit ribosomal RNA", at positions 355 to 774 of the family's 1533-position model. Lineage: Bacteria; Pseudomonadati; Bacteroidota; Chitinophagia; Chitinophagales; Chitinophagaceae. The record is from RNAcentral.